CAAUAGCGUAUAUUAAAGUUGUUGCGGUUAAAAGCUCGUAGUUGGAUUUCUGUUGAGGAACAACGGUCCGCAUUAUGUGCGAGUAUCUGUUAGGGCCUUGGCAUCCUCUUGGAGAACGUUUUUGUGCUUCAGUGCGCGAUUUCGGGAUUCAAGACUUUUACUUUUGAGGAAAUUAGAGUGUUCACGGCAAGCAAUCGCUUUGAAUACAUUAGCAUGGAAUAAUAAUAUAGGACCUUGGUACUAUUUUGUUUGGUUUCUUAGCACUAGGGUAAUGAUUAAUAGGGAGUAAUUGGGGGCGAUUCGUAUUAACGCGUCAGAGGUGGAAUUCUUGGAUUGCGUUACGACGAACUACUGCGAAAG
RNAcentral lists this ribosomal RNA (360 nucleotides) under uncultured eukaryote. RNAcentral's name for it is "bacterial SSU rRNA". It matches the Rfam family "Eukaryotic small subunit ribosomal RNA", at positions 592 to 951 of the family's 1831-position model. The record is from RNAcentral.